This 253-nucleotide ribosomal RNA is filed under the name uncultured bacterium. RNAcentral describes it as "partial 16S ribosomal RNA". It matches the Rfam family "Bacterial small subunit ribosomal RNA", at positions 524 to 776 of the family's 1533-position model. The record is from RNAcentral.
UACGAAGGGUGCAAGCGUUACUCGGAAUUACUGGGCGUAAAGCGUGCGUAGGUGGUUCGUUAAGUCUGAUGUGAAAGCCCUGGGCUCAACCUGGGAAUGGCAUUGGAUACUGGCGACCUAGAGUGCGGUAGAGGGGUGUGGAAUUCCCGGUGUAGCAGUGAAAUGCGUAGAUAUCGGGAGGAACAUCUGUGGCGAAGGCGACACCCUGGGCCAGCACUGACACUGAGGCACGAAAGCGUGGGGAGCAAACAGG